RNAcentral lists this ribosomal RNA (428 nucleotides) under uncultured bacterium. RNAcentral's name for it is "partial 16S ribosomal RNA". It matches the Rfam family "Bacterial small subunit ribosomal RNA", at positions 354 to 796 of the family's 1533-position model. The record is from RNAcentral.
GUAGGGAAUAUUGCGCAAUGGACGAAAGUCUGACGCAGCGACGCCGCGUGAGUGAUGAAGGCCUUAGGGUCGUAAAGCUCUGUUGAAUGGGAAGAAAAAAAUGACGGUACCAUUCGAGGAAGGACCGGCUAACUUCGUGCCAGCAGCCGCGGUAAUACGAGGGGUCCUAGCGUUGUUCGGAAUCAUUGGGCGUAAAGGGUGUGUAGGUGGCCUGGUAAGUCAGGUGUGAAAGCCCCGGGCUCAACCCGGGAAGUGCACUUGAUACUGCGUGGCUUGAGUACCGAAGAGGGUAGUGGAAUUCCAGGUGUAGUGGUGAAAUACGUAGAUAUCUGGAGGAACACCGGUGGCGAAGGCGGCUACCUGGUCGAGUACUGACACUGAGACACGAAAGCAUGGGGAUCAAACAGGAUUAGAAACCCCUGUAGUCC